GCUUGUCUCAAAGAUUAAGCCAUGCAUGUCUUAGUGUAAAUAACUCUUAUGAAACUGCGAAUGGCUCAUUAAAUCAGUUAUCGUUUAUUUGAUGGUCCCUUACUACAUGGAUAACCGUAGUAAUUCUAGAGCUAAUACAUGCACAAAGGCCCGACUCACGAAGGGCUGUAUUUAUUAGAUUUAAAGCCGACAUCUUUUGGUGAUUCAUAAUAACUUUUCGAACCUCAUGCCUUUAUGGUGGAGGUGAUUCAUUCAAAUUUCUGCCCUAUCAACUUUCGAUGGUUCGGUAUUGGCCAACCAUGGUGGCAACGGGUAACAGGUUUUCAGCGAAAGAUUCUGGAGAAGAAGCCCGAGUAACAGCUUCUACAUCCAAGGAAGGCAGCAGG
RNAcentral lists this ribosomal RNA (386 nucleotides) under uncultured Cryptomonadales. RNAcentral's name for it is "partial small subunit ribosomal RNA". It matches the Rfam family "Eukaryotic small subunit ribosomal RNA", at positions 30 to 432 of the family's 1831-position model. The record is from RNAcentral. Lineage: Eukaryota; Cryptophyceae; Cryptomonadales.